RNAcentral lists this ribosomal RNA (60 nucleotides) under Saccharomyces cerevisiae (brewer's yeast). RNAcentral's name for it is "partial 28S ribosomal RNA". Lineage: Eukaryota; Fungi; Ascomycota; Saccharomycetes; Saccharomycetales; Saccharomycetaceae. The record is from RNAcentral.
GUUUGACCUCAAAUCAGGUAGGAGUACCCGCUGAACUUAAGCAUAUCAUAGCGGAGGAAA